AGGAAGAGUCUAAGUCAUUAGAAUUGAAAUGUUGUAUAUUUAAGUGUGUGUGAUUUUUAAAUAUUUCACAAGUGUGUGUGUGUGUGUGUGUGUAAAGCGUGGUCUACAAUACAUGGAAUAAGUGUAGAGUAAGGAGUAAAACUAUUCCUGCGCUCUAAUUGGCCGAGCGUAAGCGUAAAAGAUGGAGUAGGAGUAGGAAAUAAAAUUUAUUUCGCUUACGCCCUUAUGCCUACUGUUACUUCUUACUCGACGCUUGCUCCAUGUAUUGCAGAUCACGCUUAACAUCUACACGUACAGACUAUCAUGUUGAAUCAAAAUGCGAGUCAACCACCAUGUUGUGAACCAAUGCAAUUGUACACAGGAAAUUCGUGAUGUUUACACAAAAAUAUGCACUCCGCAAUUAAAAAAGGCGAGUCUAUCUUCUAUUUUUUUUUUAUACAGCAAACUCAAUUUUAAUUUAAAAAAAAUUAUGUCCGUACAGAGAAUGUAGCAUCAAACUCGGAAAUCAAUUCGUCCGAAACUAAAUGCAGCGGAUCACGAACAACGUUCAUUGGAAAUAAUGGUUGUGCAAUUGCUGACUGCUGAGUUGCGGUGGUCGGACACAAUUGGUUUUCGCCCAGCAAAUCAACGCGGGCAGGAGAUUCAACGAGAUUUGUCCUGUUUGAAUGCGUCGAAUGAGUUGUUAGAUCGACCGGAUCUGAAAAAUAUUCUGUAGGUGCGACCAACUUGACGUCACAAACUCUUCAAAGCAUUUUUUGAUUGGUCAAUUCAUAAAAUUCUUUUCUAAUUGCUCAAUGAAAGACUUCGAAGCAUUUGUACGCGACAAAUAGAUCGCAUAAUAACUGAAUUUCUUCUCGUUUGUCGUGAGCCACUUUGAGGAUAGUUCUGAAUAAAUUUUCGUAAGUUUGUUGAAAUAACUAAAAAUAAUUGAUAUAUGAAUAUUUUGACCAAUAAUAUAAGUAUUCGAACAAUAUAUUGCAUUAAGUGAUAUAAUUAAUACAUAGACUAUAUUAUUAUACAGAUUUAUUAUUAUGCAAUAGUAAAUAAACUUAUUUAUGACAUCAUAAUACAUCAUUACAAAAAUGUAUUCUUUUUUAUUUAUUUGCGUGUAACACGCGUUCAAACACGCAUGAUAAUAGAAGUGCACUUGUAAAUAGAAAUCGAAAUAUCGUUAAUAAACAUCUAUAAAAACUG
Molecule: long non-coding RNA, 1194 nt
Organism: Monomorium pharaonis (pharaoh ant)
Lineage: Eukaryota; Metazoa; Arthropoda; Insecta; Hymenoptera; Formicidae
Exons: 3
Source: RefSeq, a predicted model, not a curated record